GACGAACGCUGGCGGCGUGCUUAACACAUGCAAGUCGAACGAUGAAGCCGGAGCUUGCUCUGGUGAAUUAGUGGCGAACGGGUGAGUAACACGUGAGUAACCUGCCCUUGACUCUGGGAUAACUGCGGGAAACUGUAGCUAAUACCGGAUACGACCCUCGGAGGCAUCUCCUGGGGGUGGAAAGAAUUUCGGUCAAGGAUGGACUCGCGGCCUAUCAGCUAGUUGGUGAGGUAAAGGCUCACCAAGGCGACGACGGGUAGCCGGCCUGAGAGGGUGGCCGGCCACACUGGGACUGAGACACGGCCCAGACUCCUACGGGAGGCAGCAGUGGGGAAUAUUGCACAAUGGGCGCAAGCCUGAUGCAGCAACGCCGCGUGAGGGAUGACGGCCUUCGUGUUGUAAACCUCUUUUAGCAGGGAAGAAGCGAAAGUGACGGUACCUGCAGAAAAAGCACCGGCUAACUACGUGCCAGCCGCCGCUGUAA
Molecule: ribosomal RNA, 484 nt
Filed under: uncultured bacterium
Lineage: Bacteria
Description: partial 16S ribosomal RNA
Rfam family: Bacterial small subunit ribosomal RNA
Source: RNAcentral